AGCAAGAGCAUGCAAAAAAAGCCAGGCGAAAGACUGUUUAAUGAUACUUAAUUUGCUGGAAGAUUUGUUUUCUAAAAAGAACCUCUUUCUUGGUUGUUGAUCUGUUCUAACAAUUCCUUCUCAUUUGGCUGUUUGGUGGAUAUUAAAUGGCAUUUUUCAGCUUGCUACCUCAACCAUUAUAUGGUUUGUUUAACUUUUUGCAAUGUGUUAUUCUGAUUUUUUUCUUUCCUUUCCAAAUUUAUCACUAUUUUUCUUUGUAUUGUAUCGUUGAGAUAGAAUUGUCCAUUGAAUCCUAUUGCAUCUAUCUCCCCUUUUCUCUUUCUCUUUUUAUCUCUGAUGUCAUCGACUUGGAAUUUCUCCAAAUCUCAAGAAGAGUAUCUGAUUUGGUUCUUUCGUGUGCUGCUAUCACUCCUCUCUCUCUCUUUCCUGCAUUGGCUGUUUCAUUUUGAUUCCCUUCGUAUAUUUGUUUGAUUGAGACUGCAGGUGCCUGAUCUUGAAUUUUUUUUUUCUUUUUAGAUUUAUCAUCCCCCGUCAUAACGUUUAUCUCCCUUUUUAUCUCUCUCUUUUCCUAUUGGAUGUCAUCAAGUUCGAGUUGCUCCACAUCUCAAGAACAGUCUCUGAUUCGGAUGUAUAACAUGUCGUUAACACUUCUUGCUUUCCCCUUCCUUCGUUGACUGUUUCUUUAUGAUUCCUCUCAUAUCUUUUCUUGGUCAAGACCGUAGGUACACGGACCAUGCAUCUUUAUUUUUUUUCCCGUAUUUAUAAAUAUUUUGUUUUGUUUUUGUAUUAUUGAGAUGGAAUUGUUUGUUGAAUUCUAAUGUAUCUACCUCCAAAAAUUUUCUCAAGUAGGCUUUAUUUCCUGUGUUGGCUGUUUUGUUUUGAUUCGUUUCAUAUUUUCUCUUGAUCAAGUCUGCAGGUUCUUUUUCUUUUCUUUUCAUAUAUUCUUUUAUCUCUGAAGUUAAAACAUCAAGCAAGCGUUCUAUCAAAAUUCGAGGUUAAGACUUUAAAUUUCUAGAGCUAAGCUAGAAGAGGAAUUCAGAUAAGUGAAGCAACAGCUUCUUUCUCUUUCCUUCUUGUGUUUGCUGUCAUCAAUUUUUUCUUUCAGAUUCUUAUACCAUAUUCCUUGCUUGUACCCAUACAACACUUUGUAGGUACCCUGUUUUUAGUAAACUAUGGUUUGAAUUAUUCUGUUAGUUAUUACAAUGUUGCCUCUGACUAUUGUGUUUGAAUUGCGCGCCACAAUAUUGGUUUUCAUCAUAUAGCUAUUAAUUGAUUGUGUAGUUCCUGAAAAAGUUUGAUAUAUGAUUUAAGAAAAGUAGAGAAGGACUCGAUUUCUGAAUAAUCAAGUUGAACUUUUGCUAGUCAGGUUAGAGACCUUAUGAGAUCUAUCCUUUUGUUGCAGUUUUCCAAGAAUCGGUAACGAUUCAAUUCCAAUGAUAUCCAGUGUCGUAGUGUGCGUACGGUCAUAUGGCAUUGGGAAAGCUCAUAUGUGGCGUUCCUUGCCUGAUUGGUUGUGUUGAAGGAAUGAGAGUGAGAUGUGUGGAAAAAUUGUGAGAUGAAAAAAAUUAUUUGUUAUUAGAAUUGAGAAAAUCAAGUAUUGUAAGUUGCGUGUCUGACCUUUGCCAUGGCGGGUGCGCUCCCAUGGCAGGUCAAAAAGUGUAAUAAAAUUCGUGUCUUUUUGGUUUUGGGGGGGGUGAGGAGAUGGCACGGGAUAUUAAUAAAUUAUUUUUGCCCGGCUCUCCCUAUCUCCCAUCUGUCUACCUGUGUACUUUUUUCUUUUUUUAAUUCUUAUAUUUAUUUUCUGACGACUAAUAUAAAUUAUAUACUGACGUAAAUUAUAUAAUUUACGAUUCUAACCUUUGUCAUGGCGGGUCCCCUGGCAUAACAGGUCAAAAAAUGCAAUAAAAUUCACCCUAUUUUUAGUUUUGAGGGGAUUGGGAGAUGCGACGGGAUAUUGAGAUACUAUUUCGGCUCGGGUCUCCCUAUCUCCCAUUUGUCUACAUGCAUACUUUUUUAUUUUCGCUACCUCUUAUAUUUAUUUUCUGACCAAUUGUAUAAAUUAUAUAUUUAGAUAAAUUAAAUAAUUUAUGUGUGUGACCUUCGCUAUGAUGGGUGCGCUAGCAUCGCAAGUCAGCCAUACAAAUGCAAUAAAAUUAACGUUUUUUUUAAUUUUGAGGGGGUUGGGAGAUGACAAGGGAUAUUAGUACAUUAUUUUUGCUUGGCUUUCCCUAUCUCCGAUUUUUGUGUAUGUAUAUUUUUAUCUCUUUCCUAACUUUUAUAUUUAUUUUUUGACUAAUUGUGUAAAUUAUGUGUUUAUAUAAAUUAUAUAAUUUAAAUUUUUGGCAUUUGCCAUGACGGAUGCGCUCGCAUGGCAAGUUAAAAAGUGCAAUAAAAUUCAUGUUUUUUUUUUUUGGUUUUGCGGGGAUUGGGGGGUGGUAUAGGAUAUUAAUAUAUUAUUUUGGCUCGACUCUCCUUUCUCCUAUUUGUCUGCCUGUGUACUUUUUUCUCUUUCUUAUUUUUUAUCUUUAUUUUCUAACCAAUAGUAUAAAUUGUGUACUUAUGUAAAUUAUAUGAUUUACGUGUUUGACCUUUGCCAUGGCAGGUGUGAUUGCAUGGCAGGUCAAAAAGCGUAAUAAAUCUCACGUUUUUCUUUUGGUUUUGGGGGGAUUGCGAGACGGGACAGGAUAUUAAUAUAUAAAUUGGCUUGGCACGGGAUAUUAAAAUAUUAUUUUGGUCAACUCUUACUAUCUCCGAUUUUUCUGUGUAAUUUUUUUUCUGCCCUAAUUUUUAUAUCUGUUUGGGACCAAUAGUAUAAAUUAUAUAUUUACGUAAAUUAUGUAAUUUACGUGUUUGACCUUUGCCAUGGUGGGUGCGCUCACAUGGCAGGUCAAAAAGUGCGAUAAAACUCACGUUCUUUUUUAUUUUGGGGGAAUGAAGAGAUCGGACGGGAUAUUAAUAUCUAAAUUGGCCCGGGUCUCCCUAGCUCCCAUUUGUUUGCCUGUGUACUUUUUUCUUUUUGCUAUCUCUUAUAUUUAUUUUCUGACCAAUGGUAUAAAUUAUAUAUUUACGUAAAUUAUAUAAUUUAAUUUGUAAUGUAUCAGAGUCUCUGGUCACUUUGCUCAGGUAGGGAGGGAAGGAGGUAGGUGCUUCUCCUUCGACAUUACGUUCAAGUUAGCUAUGCAUGAAUUUGGAAAGACUGGAAAAUGGUUCAGGGUUUUAUGGAUAACCUUUUUCCUGUUAAAAAAAAUUCCGAAGAACCAUGUCAUUUUCCUUGCUUUGAAGUGGUGCAAGAGAAAAAGAAAACCCAUAAAAGACCUAGGCAUGCUACAAAGUGGAAGACACGGUAUUUGAACAAAUGUGUAGAGAUUUAACUGAUUUUUCAACUUAUGGAUUCAUAUCUGCAGAUAAAAAAAUUCAGAAACAACAAUGGCCACUUUUAUUUUGUUCCUUUUGGUGUCAAGUAGUUACUUGCAGUAUGUUGUUUUUGGAAUUCCGUUAUGAUGGAUUUGAUGCUGCAUUUUCAUUACGGUAGUUCUGCUGUUUUCAUGAUUCAUAUGAAUCCCAAAUAAUAUUUGUUUACAUCAAGUUCUGAUUUCAGUUUUGGUUUCUCGACAUUUCAGGCCUCGUAUUACAUCAGAAGGCCUGCAAAGGUGAUAUUAUAACAUUCCGAGCUCCUUUACGGCUUCUUGAUAUGGUUGGAGUUUUUCUAAUCUGCCAAGAGUUAUGAUAAUAAAUUCUAUUAUGAGACUCCGCUAAUAAAGUAAGGAGGAGCUCUUUUGGGUUCUGAUCUUGCUUGGUUCUUUUUUUUUUUGUCAUGAGUUUCUCAGCUAACUCAAGGAGAUGCUCGUUUGGGCAAUAUCAUAUGAUCAGUUGCCUGAGUGGAAAAAGUUUCAAGAAAAAGUUUGAUUUGAUUGUAAGUUAUGGGUUUCCGGAGAAAUUAAAGUGUGAUUAUGUUUAGAGGGUUAGCUUCUUCUUAUGACCUCCAAGGAGAAGUUGAAGACAGAAAUCCAAUUCUUCUUGAACAUAAUUGGGUUUGAGAAGGAAAUUUUAGCUGAGAACCUGUCUGCUUGGCGUACAGUUUUGAAGAUAGAAUCUUUCCUUGUUACGGGGUUUUGCAGGUUUCGAGGUUGAGAAGUUGUAGCAGAGAGGACUUGAGUUUUAAUGAGGUGGUGCUUUUGACAGAAAAGGAGUUCGUGUAGAAGUUUAUAUCGAGGUCUUGAGAUAGUGUGGAGGAAUUGUUGGUAUGCUACAAAUCUCGUCUUUUGGAUUUAUCUUCUUCUUCUUCUGCUUCUGAGAAGGAAAGCUCCUUACUGACCCUUUUUUCUCUAUGCUCUUGCUCUUUACUGACCCUAUUCUCUAUGCUCUUCAACUCUAAUAUGCAUUCUUAUUCUGUUGUAGUGCCAUUGUUGGACAUAAAUUUAAAAUUGAAUGGUUAGGAUCGAUUUUAAUGUUUGUUGCUUUUGUGCUUUGUUAAUACUGGUGAUUAAGCACGUAUGUAUAUUUAUUUGCAUCAAUCCUAUAGGUAUUCUUUUGGUUUUUCCUGGAACCUUUUUUUUUCGGUUGAACAUGAAAUUUGAAGGAAAUAUGAGAAAUGUGUGAAAGACAGGGAGGCAUCUAUUGCCCAGUUUUCUUUUGCUGCUCGUAUUUGAUUUUUUUUUUUUUUUUUCCUUUUUGCCAGUUUUCUUUUAAAAUUUCACCGUUCUUCAUGUAUUUUUUUUUUCCUUUUUGCUGGUUGCUGUGUGACUUUAGUAUACACGCAUACUUAUACUUGAAGAAUCUAUGAAUAUUUGUGGUAAAUGAAUACGUAAUUUGAACAGUCUAUCAAAGUCCAUGUUGGUAUGCCUUGACCACUUUUUGUUUGCAUUUGAUUUUAUUACAUGAGUUCUUUUCUUGUUUACAUUGAUCAUCUACGUUAUCCAGUGUGUUUGGAUGCUCCAUUGAGUCUAUCUAAUCGGAGUAUAGGAAACUCAAAAGUGUGUGAGUUGAUUUGCAUGUAUUCUGUGUUACUGGAAAAUCUGCCUGCGCAAAGCUUAAUAUACCUUUAGGGCUUUUGCUUGGUAGUUGAUUAAGUUUUGGACUGCUAGAAUGAAUGCUCAAUAGCCCACUUUUUGUUCCUAGGAAAGCAAGAGCAUGCUAAAAAAGCCAGGUGAAAGACUAAUUUAAUGAUCCUCAAUUUGCCGGAAGAUUUGGUUUCUAAAAAGAACCCCUUUCUCGGUUGUUGAUCUGUUCUAACAGUUUCUUCUCUUUUGGCUGUUUGGUGGAUAUUAAAUGGCAUUUUGCAGCUUGCUAUCUCAACCAUUAUAUGGUUUGUUUAACUUUUUGCAAUGUGUUAUUCUGAUUUUUUUCUUUCUUUUUCAAAUUUAUCAUUAUUUUGCUUUGUAUUGUAUCGUUGAGAUAGAAUUGUUCAUUGAAUCCUUAUGCGUUUAUCUCAUUUUUUCUCUUUCUCUUUUCAUCUCUGAUGUCAUCGACUUGAAAUUUCUCCAAAUCUCAAGAAGAAUGUCUGAUUUGGUUCUUUCAUGUGCUGUUAUCACUCCUCUCUCUCUCUCUUUCCUGCAUUGGCUGUUUCAUUUUGAUUCCCUUUGUAUAUUUGUUUGAUUGAGACUGCAGGUGCCUGAUUUUGAAUCUUUUUUUUGCUUUUCAAAUUUAUCAUCCUCCGUCAUAACGUUUAUCUCCCUUUUUAUCUCUCUCUUUUCCUAAUGGAUGUCAUCAACUUCGAGUUGCUC
RNAcentral lists this long non-coding RNA (5723 nucleotides) under Carica papaya (papaya). RNAcentral's name for it is "long non-coding RNA (CPAP_LNC000020)". Lineage: Eukaryota; Viridiplantae; Streptophyta; Magnoliopsida; Brassicales; Caricaceae. The record is from RNAcentral.